Molecule: long non-coding RNA, 792 nt
Organism: Lolium perenne
Lineage: Eukaryota; Viridiplantae; Streptophyta; Magnoliopsida; Poales; Poaceae
Source: RefSeq, a predicted model, not a curated record
GUACACACGCAUCACCGUCGAGGAGGACGAUGCUGCAUUGCUUGAGGAGAUCAUCUGGCGGGGAUGUGACCGCUGCGUGUUGCAGCGAUAGCUACACCGCGCAGUCAAGGACGACAACAUCCGGCUUAUCAGAGAAGAUUGCCUGUGACAUCUAGCUAAGGCCAAGGAUGAGGCCUGCCAUUGUACUCAGCAGUGGUCGAGGGGCACACCUGAAUUGGCCAUGCUGCACCGAGUUGAAUACCAUGACCUGGCCGUGACGGUGAACCAAGCUUCCGCCUUCCAAAACCGUUGAUUUUGCGUCAAGGAAAUCUCUUGAAGAACAAAAUGGUAUAUAAUGUGAGCAUCCCAGCUGCAUUUGUGCAUCCUCAUAUCAGUUUGUCUGGUCUAAUGGAGGAUGAUGGUGUGUGUACUUCGUUGAGUGGUUGGUUGCAGAAUGGAAGGGCAGGAGUGGCAUCACGAUGAACAGCGAGGAGAUAUGAAGAGUAUUAGAAGUGGGACUAGAGCCAUGAGAUUCUCCGAUGUCUGGAAGAGGCAGCUGGAGCAUUCCAUUCCUCUAUGGUUAGGAAGCACACCUCGCUGUAGACAUCCCCUGACGGCCAAGAAACAAAGGGGGGCUUCAAAAGGGCUUCCUUUCCACCUUGGUUUCAGAGUUUGUGUUCAUGUUAUUAGCUAUAGAAAUGCAACUAUGUUGUGUAUGCAAAUGGGGUUGCGACAAAGCAGAGCUCAUUGCACUGUGCCCGCACAUAUCCCCAUCAGCUACAUGUGCCACAUCUUCUCCUGCGGCAGCCUUGG